Procambarus clarkii (red swamp crayfish) is the source of this 164-nucleotide non-coding RNA. The record is from RefSeq and is a predicted model, not a curated record. Lineage: Eukaryota; Metazoa; Arthropoda; Malacostraca; Decapoda; Cambaridae.
AUACUUACCUGGCACAGAAGACAAGGUAAUCACGAAGGCGAGGCUCGCCACUACACUCCGGUGGCUCUGACCAUUGUGAUUAACCCAAAGGUGGUUAACUCGGGUGUUUUUUUUUUUUUUUUUUUUUUUUUUUUAGCGCGGGACUGCGUUCGCGCUGUACCCCU